CCUCCAUAUAAACCCCACCCAGCCAGCCCCUAGCGCAGACGGCGACGAGCUGGAUGGAGCGCGCCUUGCCUUGCUGGCCUGGGCCGCAGCUCCUCCGAAGAACCGGGACUCCCACGCGAGAAUCUCCCCGCCAGGUUCUCUCUUCAGGGAUGACAUCACCAUUCACCUCCUUGUCUUCAAGGACCACCUGUCGAUGCCCAGCUGCUGCCAAGGUGCUUGCUGCUCAUCUCCACCUUAUGAAGACCUCAGGAGCGCCCAUUUUUGGAUCCCACCAGCAUACCAAGCAGCCACUGGCAGAGACCCCCCAGGACCAGGACCACGGAGGCUGAAGAGGACCAGAACUGACCAACCAGCUGUUCCUCUUGGCUAAAGACUUAAUCCAAUGCCCUAGUGAGGGGGCAUUGGACAUUCACUCCUGACCUUUGCUAUGCUUGUGCUUAUUGCUAUGAAUACUGUCCUGUAAGUCUCUGCUUGUGUUAAUAUGCCAGCGACCUGGAGUGUUUCCCUCCCCAAGAAUGUGUCAGUUUUUCUCAGCUGACCCUAUUGUUGCCCGGGUGAUGUCCUGAAUAGAAGGACCCCUUUGGGAACUUCUCAGGAGGGGGACCUGGGCCCAGGGCUCCGCCAGCAUCUCACUGGCAAUUCCAAAGCCGUGGUGGGCUUCUGGAAUGAGCAUGAGCCCUGAUGUCAUGGGCAUCCUUGUCCUUUCCGGGGAAUGGUGAUGAGAAGAGCAACCUCCUAGGGUUGUUGUGAGUAUUAAAUGAGCCAAAUUAGCCUGGGGCAGGGCUGGGCAUGAGGAGGUGUUCAGCAAACAUUUGUUGAAAGUUUGAUAGGUCAGUCCAUCCCCAUCAGUGUCACUUGUCUGAUGCCUCUUGUUUAUUUUCCCCACAGCUCUCCGCCAGCCCCUGUCCACGGGGCUCUCCUGCACAGCCACGCUUCUCCAAAGGCCUGUCUCCACUUGCUGUCUUCCUUCCUCACCUCCAAUUUCCUCUUCAAUCCACUGCCUCCUGCCUUCUCUACUCCGUCGAGCGGCUUUCACUAAGGUAAUGACUUUUCUGUAGCUUAAGCCUAGGCAGUUUCCAGCUCAUGGACACGUGGACACAUUUCCAGUCUUCCUCUCACGUGGCUCUUGGGCCCUGGUUCACACCUAUUGACAUGCACUCCCUCUAGAAUCCACAGGGACACCGGCCCCACCCAGCAUCCCUUCUCGUAGGACCUCAGGUAGCCAGAGCUCCCAAUUUCUGGACCUUGCCUUUCACCAUCCCUCCUUGGAGUUGAGUCCUGGCUGACCCACCUAGUGCUGAGGCCCUAAGUUCGGUCAGUUUCUCCAAGCCACUUUUUUCUCAGUUGCAAAAUAGGAUUAAUAAUGUUCACCUGGCAGGUCUGGCGAACUCUCUUGCAGGUAAGAACCAGACACUAUUUGAGGGACUUGAAAUAAGGUCAUUAAAGUAUUCGUGAGAAAAUUCAAUUAGAGCCACCAGCAGAUUUUCUUACAGGUAAAGUUCCCACGGGGAGGACCAUAGAGAGAAGAAAGAAGUGGGGGGAGGAGGGGAGGAAGAGGUGGGAGAGAAAGAAAAGAAUGAGAAAAGGCACCAAAGACAAUAAAGUAGGGAAGGGGACUUAGAAAAUAUUAACAUCGACGGAAAACACAUCUAGGGAAAGGUUUCCUCUAGUGUCGGGUUGGGCUAAAAUAAACAGGAAAAAGGUUUUAAAUUAAUGAUCCAAGUGACAAGUCCCAGGAAGCUUUCAAAUCAAAUUGCCCCGUUUUGGGGUUUUAACUCCUCUCAAGUUUAACCUCUUUACCGCCUUCAUCCUGGUUAAACUCUCCCUGGCCCCUCGGCUGGUGAUUAAGUCCUGAAGGUACACAUAGUCUUUCAAUGAAUGAAUGGCCAACAGAAAGCCCUUCCCCUCCCCCCAGCUGUGUUUUUCAGUUUCCUUGCACUUUCCGCCCUUUUCCCUUAAUGAACACAGGGCUAGUCUUGGACCUUGUCAAGGAAGAGGCUGCAGCCGCUAAUGAGGGAGCUGCUGGGCUCCAGUGUUCCUCUCGUAAGGAGCCUUCUUUGUCUGUGAAGGAAAAACACACUGAUUAUCAUAAUGAGGUGAACCGCCGUCUGCAGGGCAGAGGCGAUGGUCCCAAGGCCACACUUGUAAUUUCGGGGCCGGGGCCCAUGGCUCCUUUGCUCCUCAUUUCAGCCUUGGCGAGGCCCAUUGCGUGGGGCUGAACGUGGGAGGCGGCUUUGCGGAGAGAGUUGCUUUGCAGAAGGUUCCUUUGUUGGGCCCGGCGGGCAGCUGCACUGGGCCAGGGGCUGCCUGCCUGUGGGGAGUCACUCACAGAUGAGGCCAUGGGGUCCAGGGCUCCCACUCCAGCAUGCACCUCACUUGUUUCAGCAUCCACCGGACAUGAAAAGCAUGCCAUGUCACAGGUGUAGGGCCCAGGGGAUUAUCACAAAGGCACCCCCCUGGAAGGGCAUGGUUUGGGGUUCACACUUUGGUCCCGCAUUCUGAGGAGAGUGAGGUUCAGAGCACCAGAGGAUUGCCCAGGGGACUUUACAAUAGAUCUUGCAUCAGAACAUGUCCUAUCCCCUCUCAUACGGCCUGCGUCCCACCUGAACCCCCUUCUAUCCUGAUACUUGAAACUCCCCCUGCCCGUUAAUGUCAGCAGGUCUGGCCAAAGCCUGAAACUUGCCCUGUGUGUCUCCAGUUCUGGACAUUUCCCACCCCGAGGCAGAUCAAUCAGUUAAAUUAGGUUAUUUUAAUUACACUUCAGGCUCUGGCCAGACCUGCAGCCAAAUGGAAAAAAACUAAGAGGGAAGCGAGGUGCUUGGAGUGAGAAAACUUGAUUAGUAGGAAAUUUACGCCUCUCCCUUCACUUACCUGUCAGCUGAAGGCCUGAAUCAGAGUUCUGCCCUCUUCCCAAGUUAGCAAAACCAGCUCUCACCCGGCUCCCCAAUAAAAAGGUUGAAGGCCCUACCUUAGAGGUGACCCAGAUGUUGCUCAGAUGAGGGGACUGGAGAGGAAAGGAAUAGAACAAUUUCUGGGGUUUCUAAAUGAGAGGAUGCAUUUUAAUAGGGAAAAAAAAAUCCAGAGGACCCUUCUCACCUCAAAUUCAUACUGAUAAUUAAAAUACAAGCCCAAGGUCACCGCUAUUUCAGCAUUUGAGCACCUGAGGAGGGGUGGAAGGCAUUAGUUGGCCAGGAUCUUGGGGGUUUGUGUUAUUCCUGGAGCCCCAGCUGCCUGGCCCUAGGGCAGUGAUGGCGAACCUUUUGAGCUCGGCCUGUCAGCAUUUUGAAAAACCCUAACUUAACUCUGGUGCCGUGUCACAUAGAGAAAUUUUUUGAAAUUUGCAACCAUAGUAAAACAAAGACUUAUAUUUUAGGUAUCUAUUUUACAUAUUUAAAUGCCAUUUAACAAAGAAAAAUCAACCCAAAAAAUGAGUUCGCGUGUCACCUCUGACAGGCGUGGCAUAGGUUCGCCAUCACUGCCCUAGGGGAACUGGCUCCCACAUCCCCUCCUGCGGGUUUCCGGGCCCGCUGGUCUCUAGCUGUUCUGUGUUCGCCAGCAGAGGGGUCUGAGCUCACAGCUCCCUUAGGGGUGGCACCUGCUUGUUCACGUGGGACCCUGCAUCCCACUCUUCCAGCUCAGAGGUCUGGGGUGACUUCCUGGGUUGACCCCUGACCUCCAGAGCCCACGCUUCUCCACAUCCAUCCUUAAGUCAACCGUGGAGUGUCCGAUGAUGGAGGAGGAGGCUGUAGCCAGGUGGGUGGGAUCCUAGAGGAUAAGUAGGACCCAGAGAUGCUCUCCCUUCUCCAGCUAUUCUGAGCUCCGGUUUCCUGUUUUUGCUUGUUCCCACCUCUGUUCUUCAUGCCACCUUCUCUCCUCCCUCACCCCUCCAUCGCCACUUCCUAACCCAGUGUUUUGGGGGUGCCCUAGGCCAGCCCACACCUCCUCUGGGUGUCCCAGCACCAGCUUGGCACACGUGGGGCUCAGUAAAAGUAUGUGGGAUGUUUGUUUGUUUGGGCAGGUGAGUCAACGAAGGACCUCGGCUGCUAGAGGAGUUGUUGGGAUGCUAGGAUUUACAUGUAGGUCAAAAGGAUGGAGAGGGGAUUUCAAUUUAGGGAGGGGUGGGCACCCCCACUUGAGCAGGGGCCUUGCCGGUCUCGCCCCUUCAUUCACUCACGCGGCCAACCUUCAUCCAACAGUUGAUCAUUACUGAGCUAGCCCAUAGCCCGGCCCGGCCUGAGCACCCGCCACACUAGCCGGUCCCUUGAUGGCCUCUGCCCUCGGGAGAGCGGGCCGGGGGGUGUCGUUGCCGAGGGCGGCCUGGCCUCCCAGCACUGGCGCAGCGACUGCUCUGUAGAAGGCAGGACAGCGGGACUGUGCGAGGGGCUGGCCUGGUUUGCCUUUGGGCCAGUUGGCCGGUGACCUUUACGUAGCCAGCCUCUCCUGCCCUCUCUGCCUCCCCGACUCAGCCCAGAGCUGAAUGCACCCCGGAAUGUGGUAUGUGUACCCUCGGGCUCUGGCCACAUGGUCUCCCUCUUGAGUUGGGGUCCUUGAGCUGGACCCCUCCCUCCAUGAUAGCUGCCUCCCGCCUGGGGCUAAAUCUAGCUCCUUUCUUUGGCUAGAGACUGUCCGAUGCAAAGGAUAGGUGGCUGGGAACCUCCAGGGAGCUCUGUAGGCUCUGCCUCCGCUUGGCUGCCUACCUGUCUGCUCUACCUGGCGGCUCCUCCCCUGGUCUGUUGCCCACUAGGAGCUCUGCUUUCCCCUUCUCUGUGCCUGACUCACCUGGCUUAUGAGCCUGUGGGCCUCAGCUGCCAGCCCGCUGUCUUACCUGCUCCCGCUGCUACGUCACCCACCUUUCACCUGCUUCCUUUGGCCCUGCUGCUAGGUCCAGACACCCCACAGCCCAAGGAGCCAUUUCUCCAUCCUGCUGCCCAGGUUGCCAACAGGCCCCCAGUGCCUAUGGGACAAGCCCCCGCUGGCAUGCUACCUCCCGCAAACAUCCUCAAAUACCUACUCUAAUUUGCCUGGCUUCCCAGGGUCUGCGCGACCUUCGGUCCUGCCUCCUUCCCUCACAGAUCCCUUGUCCCCAAGCAGGUCAUCCCAUGGCCUGCCCCGCCCCUGUGAGUCCCCGGCCCUGCUCACCCCACAUCACCCCAGGAGUCUCCACUUGGUUUGGGAACUGCCACCCAGGCCUUCAGCUUUUCCCAUCACUGCUCAUUCCCACGAGCCACCUCCCUCCACCGAAAACCAGACUUCUGGUUGACCCGGGGCCGGGUCAGCUGAAGAACUGACGGAAGAGGCAGAAGAGCCCCCGGAGGACACCGCCCUGGACCAAGCCCUCCUUCCCAACCCCACUCCCAGCCUCUCGCCUCCGUCCUGGUUUGGGACGAAGCCAUCGUCCGGAAUUCGUCGUGGGACGGGACCUCAGACACAAGCCCCCGCACCUUCCACCUGCGAAAUCCCUCCACAGCCACGGGGACGCCCUGCUCACAUUCCCUCGGGACAGGCUGGACCCAAAGACUCUGGACCCGGCUGCCCCCUGCGAGGAGGGUGUGCCCUCCUCCUCAGCCUCCCCUGCGGUAGCCGCCCACCCUUUGCGGAUGGACUUCAUUGAGCUGAGGGUCAGACACGUGGGCUUGACGCCUGCCCACACCUUACGAACCCUGAGACUUAGGGGACUGGCUGUGCCUUCGCCAUCCGCAUCUGUGGAAGGGGCUCUGCACCUACCUCACAGGGUUGUUGUGAGGAGUCUGUGAUGCGGGCUGAAAGUGCCCAACCUGGGGCCUGGCACAUCCUAUUGUGCUCUCAAUAAAUAUCUUUUCUUUGCCUUAACAAA
Long non-coding RNA from Myotis daubentonii (Daubenton's bat), 5833 nucleotides. RefSeq lists it as uncharacterized. NCBI's taxonomy places the organism in Eukaryota, Metazoa, Chordata, Mammalia, Chiroptera, Vespertilionidae. The record is from RefSeq and is a predicted model, not a curated record. The transcript is spliced from 7 exons.